UCCCUUAUAGCUCAGUGGGUAGAGCGUCUGUCUGAUACACAGAUUGUCGGGUGUUCGAAUCAUCCUAAGGAAA
This 73-nucleotide transfer RNA is filed under the name Caudoviricetes sp. Its description in RNAcentral is "tRNA-Ile". It matches the Rfam family "tRNA". From Rfam's summary of the family: Transfer RNA (tRNA) molecules are approximately 80 nucleotides in length. Their secondary structure includes four short double-helical elements and three loops (D, anti-codon, and T loops). Further hydrogen bonds mediate the characteristic L-shaped molecular structure. tRNAs have two regions of fundamental functional importance: the anti-codon, which is responsible for specific mRNA codon recognition, and the 3' end, to which the tRNAs corresponding amino acid is attached (by aminoacyl-tRNA synthetases). tRNAs cope with the degeneracy of the genetic code in two manners: having more than one tRNA (with a specific anti-codon) for a particular amino acid; and 'wobble' base-pairing, i.e. permitting non-standard base-pairing at the 3rd anti-codon position. The record is from RNAcentral. Lineage: Duplodnaviria; Heunggongvirae; Uroviricota; Caudoviricetes.